Molecule: long non-coding RNA, 1756 nt
Organism: Polyodon spathula (Mississippi paddlefish)
Lineage: Eukaryota; Metazoa; Chordata; Actinopteri; Acipenseriformes; Polyodontidae
Exons: 4
Source: RefSeq, a predicted model, not a curated record
GACAUGUUUUCAUACAAUUCUUAUUUUUAUUUUUUUAUUUGCCAUUUCUUCGUAAUAUUAUCGUAAUCUCAGGCUAUAUAGAAAUUUGCCUCGCCACACAGACGUCUUCGCUUCUCAUUGGUCAGUUCCCCUAGUUAUGCCGAGUGUAACUCCGGAUCAAGAAGAAGCGGGUAGUCCAGUAUAUUAUUAGUAGACGGUCAUUACUGUACAUACUCAAAGAUUAAACCAGUCUACAAUGCAUUUCUUUUAGAAAACGCCAACUCCAGAAAGCCAUCCAAUUGUUCCUGGGCAAAGUGCCAGCCCCCCAGUGACCCUGCUGCUUCCUCUCCAGAUAUUACAUUCCACUGGCACGUCAUUUGCCCCAACUGACGCCGACCUUCUCCUGGACCCCCGAAGUAAACAUUGCCAGCUGGCACUCCUGCCUUAUUUUCCUGAAGGGACGAUUCAUAGUUCCCCUUAAAAGAAUGUCCAAUCCCGCAGCGGCUCAGGAGAUCUGAAGGUCAAAGUGGGGGUCAUGCCGAUCCCACAACCAAGCCCAGGAGCAAUACAGGAAAUGUGAACAACUAGCGGCCUACAGGUCAGGUGCCUGCUUUAGCUCACCAGGUACCUGACCUAUAGGUCAUAAAAAAGAAUCCAAGAUUCCCGAUGAGAGACCAGUCACACCAGAAGGAGAGAUGAGGGUCAUACAGACGUGAGCCCAAGAUCCACCGAGAGAAGAGGAAGUACCAAACUGGGGGUGGAACACGAGUAAGUGGUGACAAGAACAAGAGGGAGGCCCUGUGUUGCAACAGGUGAGGAUGUGUGUAGAACAUGGAAGAAGAACAUAGGCAAGCUGCUCCUUUAGUAUUAAACUGGUUCCAACAGUGGAAGCGACUAGUCCAAGAAAAUGGGGUAUUGUGCCAGCAAAGUCUGGACCUUAAUACUUGUGAAGUAAGGUUGCAGGUUCUUGUCCCCGAGCAGAAUAAAAAAGAGGUUUGGGACGCCUAUCAUAUCCAUGUUGCCCACUUGGGAUAAAUAAAACAUUGUGGUAUGACGAAGGUUCUUUUGGCCCAAAAUGGACAAGGAUGUACAGAUUUGACACUCCCGUUGCAACUGCUGUAAUUUGCGCAAGGCUCGACCGGACAGUACGGCAAACCACCUGCCACCCCUGCAUCUGAAUACAUUUCAAAAUUAUUUCAGUGGAUUAAUGACGGCAAAAUGCUAAUUUGACAGUGAGUGCAGAACACCAGAUGAAAAACAUUCUUUACUUAUGCCACAUUUUUAGUGGCCCCUGAAGUCCCGCUUUAUGGCAGCUUAACAUGAUUUGCACGUGCAAAAGCAGAUUUUGGCCACAAUAUGGGUGUUGCAGCAGGCAAAUCACUGCAGGUAUCCUUACAUCAGGCCCUAGUGUGAUUGGUCUGGCUCUGGACAAACUAGCAGUGCAACAAGGGGACGACAGCUGUUGCCGGCUUGCCACCUCGUGUAACCACUGGUCAUCACCCUGGCGACGUGUCUCCCACUUUAUAACCAUGUUCUAUUUCUCAGGUGACACGAGGGCAACAUUUUCAAUACCAGCCAAUCAUCCUUGAUAGUACUGUCACAUGAUAAUAAAAUGACGAUGUGGACGUAUGAUUGGGAAAUAAGCUAACAGAAUAUUUAGCUUUCUUUUUUAUUGGUUUGAGAAAUAAUUACAUAUAAGAAAAUAAAAGGCUCCUGUGGAAGCCGUCUGUUACAUUGUGUUUCCCUUGUUUCCAUUUUUUUCUUUUAAAUAAAUGAA